This 72-nucleotide transfer RNA is filed under the name Thermofilum sp. NZ13. RNAcentral's name for it is "tRNA-Ala". It matches the Rfam family "tRNA". Rfam says of the family: Transfer RNA (tRNA) molecules are approximately 80 nucleotides in length. Their secondary structure includes four short double-helical elements and three loops (D, anti-codon, and T loops). RNAcentral also lists the same sequence under 2 other names. The record is from RNAcentral. Lineage: Archaea; Thermoproteati; Thermoproteota; Thermoprotei; Thermofilales; Thermofilaceae.
GGGCCGGUCGUCUAGUGGGAGGAUGCCGCCUUCGCACGGCGGUGGUCCCGGGUUCGAAUCCCGGCCGGUCCA